Molecule: ribosomal RNA, 440 nt
Filed under: uncultured bacterium
Lineage: Bacteria
Description: partial 16S ribosomal RNA
Rfam family: Bacterial small subunit ribosomal RNA
Source: RNAcentral
CCUACGGGUGGCAGCAGUGGGGAAUAUUGCACAAUGGGGGAAACCCUGAUGCAGCGACGCCGCGUGAAGGAAGAAGUAUUUCGGUGUGUAAACUUCUAUCUGCAGGGAAGAAAAUGACGGUACCUGACUAAGAAGCCACGUCUAACUACGUGCCAGCAGCCGCGGUAAUACGUAGGGGGCAAGCGUUAUCCGGAUUUACUGGGUGUAAAGGGAGCGUAGGCGGCGAUUCAAGUCAGAAGUGAAAGCCCGGGGCUCAACUCCGGGACUGCUUUUGAAACUGUGUUGCUAGAUUGCAGGAGAGGUAAGUGGAAUUCCUAGUGUAGCGGUGACAUGCGUAGAUAUUAGGCGGAACACCAGUGGCGAAGGCGGCUUACUGGACUGUAAAUGACGCUGAGGCUCGAAAGCGUGGGGAGCAAACAGGAUUAGAUACCCCAGUAGUC